GAGAUCGACCUUCGACGGUGCCGCUCUAGCGUUGGUCGGCCAGCAAGUCUUCACCACCCCCUUAUCCCCUUUACCCACCUUCCAACCCCACUACAGUGUUGUGAUCGGCCGGUCCGCUCUACCAUGGCGCCACUCAAUGCAUCGCCAACGCAAAAUCGUUCUCUAUAGCCAGGUUCCUUCUUCAACGGGCCAAUCCAACAGUUGUGUUCCUUACUGUCCAUGGCCGGGAGAAAGCGAAAGCGCCCUGAGGAGCUCUACCAUGGUCCUUGAGAACUUCUACGCACCGGUCUGCACCGACCUCUCACCAACUGCCUCGCCCGUGCUUCGCAGAACUACUCUUUGGAUUUCGGAGAAUUGAGUAUAGAAGAAGCAGCCAAUGACUUUCCUAUAAUACUGGACAGCAUAGAAGUUGAUCUUCCAUUGGAAGGUUCCCUCUUUGCAUACUUUAGCAGAUCAGAAACGCUCCUGAUGAAAAUCCGCCUUUUCUUGGGUGAUAUUGGCCCUUCUGGUGGUAUUUCAUGAUUUGUGGCAGUUAAGAUAACUGCUGUAGCCUUUGACUGUAUCAUUGUUGUGGGUGUUCUUCUCUGUUUAGGGUGUGAUGGGGGAUCUCUGCAUGCAACAUCAUUUGUUGGUUCACCUCUGCGUGGUUCGAGGUUCUGAACAGUAUUUACACUGGUAUGUUGUAAGCUUCCAUCUAUGGAUUGCUGAAGAUCCUGAACAUUAUUUGCAAAGGUAUGCUCUGUGCUUUCUUUUUCAAAAUAACUCAAACUAGAUUUGGUUGUUCUCUCACUAAUCAUCAGUUUCUCAGGGCCAUUUGUAAUAUGAUUAUUUUGCACUUCUCCAAUAGUGGAGCUGUCACCUGUUAAUUUCUUGCCUCUUCUCAUGUGCUUAUUAGAACAUAACUCAGUAUAUUCACAAAGGUUAUUCUUA
This is a long non-coding RNA of Phragmites australis (common reed), 930 nucleotides long. RefSeq lists it as uncharacterized. The transcript has 2 exons. The record is from RefSeq and is a predicted model, not a curated record. Lineage: Eukaryota; Viridiplantae; Streptophyta; Magnoliopsida; Poales; Poaceae.